Non-coding RNA from Potamilus streckersoni, 73 nucleotides. The record is from the annotation of a GenBank genome assembly. NCBI's taxonomy places the organism in Eukaryota, Metazoa, Mollusca, Bivalvia, Unionida, Unionidae.
GUUUCGUUGGCCUAGUGGUUAGAGUGUUCGCCUCGGGUGCGGGAGGUCGUGGGUUCAAAACACGACUGAGUCA